RNAcentral lists this long non-coding RNA (443 nucleotides) under Nicotiana benthamiana. RNAcentral describes it as "long non-coding RNA (NBEN_LNC008297)". The record is from RNAcentral. Lineage: Eukaryota; Viridiplantae; Streptophyta; Magnoliopsida; Solanales; Solanaceae.
UCAAAAGAUGGGAAUGUGAACAGGACAACGAGCAGAACUCAGGACCUCUCCUUUGAGUAGAAGAACAAAACAGCUCAAUGUAUGUAUGUGUUGUGUGUGUCUGUCCGUGUGAGUUUCGGCGAGUGGAUGGUGAAGGCUCUGUGAGUGUGUGUUUUGGUAUUGCGACUGAAGUAAGGUCGUUGGUUUGAUGAGAGGAGGAGUCAAAGUGUGGUAUGGUUCGUCGGUUGUUGAAGAGAGCAGAAGGCAAUAGAGGUUUCGAAGCUGAAGGAGAAGGGUAGGGGCUAGGGACUUUUUCGGUUCUCUAUGGCUUAAGCUUCUUCACCUAGACUCUAGGGUUUUGUCCAUUUUUCUUUCAUGAAAAUGAGGGGUCUCUGGCUGUUGGAAGUUGAAGAAGAAAGAUCAGCAGUGAGGUUGUUUCUUUGGAGUUGCCGGCGGGCUUGGGG